Molecule: ribosomal RNA, 484 nt
Filed under: uncultured bacterium
Lineage: Bacteria
Description: partial 16S ribosomal RNA
Rfam family: Bacterial small subunit ribosomal RNA
Source: RNAcentral
AUUGAACGCUGGCGGCAGGCCUAACACAUGCAAGUCGAGCGGAUGAAGGGAGCUUGCUCCUGGAUUCAGCGGCGGACGGGUGAGUAAUGCCUAGGAAUCUGCCUGGUAGUGGGGGAUAACGUCCGGAAACGGGCGCUAAUACCGCAUACGUCCUGAGGGAGAAAGUGGGGGAUCUUCGGACCUCACGCUAUCAGAUGAGCCUAGGUCGGAUUAGCUAGUUGGUGGGGUGAAGGCCUACCAAGGCGACGAUCCGUAACUGGUCUGAGAGGAUGAUCAGUCACACUGGGACUGAGACACGGUCUAGACUCCUACGGGAGGCAGCAGUGGGCAAUAUUGGACAAUGGGCGAAAGCCUGAUCCAGCCAUGGCGCGUGUGUGAAGAUGGUCUUCUGAUUGUAGAGCACUUUAAGUUGGGAGGAAGGGCAGUAAGGUAAGACCUGGCUGUUUUGACGUUACUAACAGAAUAAGCACCGGCUAACUUCGUG